Molecule: long non-coding RNA, 830 nt
Organism: Brassica napus (rape)
Lineage: Eukaryota; Viridiplantae; Streptophyta; Magnoliopsida; Brassicales; Brassicaceae
Exons: 2
Source: RefSeq, a predicted model, not a curated record
UCACUAAGUAGAGAAAUGGUGAUGAUUGUACUCUAAGAAAAGAAAAGAAAAAUAUAUAUAUAUAUAUAAGACAUAUACACCAGCUUUCGUGUAUUUAAGUAUCUAAUGUAUUUAAGUAUCUCAGGUAAUCUAACAUGUAUUUUUCAAAAUCACAAAUUAGUUUUAUAGCUAUAUAGUAUACACUCAUAUUCAGGGGCGGUCCUGAAAGAAGUGGGGCUCUAAACAAAUGAAAAAAUGGGGGCCCUUCUAACAUAACUGAAAUUUUAAAAUUCAUGAGCAAGAAUUUUUUUUUUAAAGCAAAACAGAAAACAAAAAACUAAUUCUCAAACAAAAAGCUAAAAAAACUGUAAAUGUGAGAAGAGAAAAGAUUUAUUUUAUGUAAGUCCCACUAAAUUCUGUUGCUCGAUUUUAUUAUUUAUACAUAUAAAUAUUUUUUUAAUGUUUUAAAAAAAAACAAAAUAUUUUUUUAAAAAUGGGGGCCUUUUAAUAAUGGGGGCCCCAGGCCCAUGUUUCAAAUGGCUCUCCUCAGGGACGCCCCUGUGGAGACUGCCUAAAACAUUUCUUCUGCGAGCUCUGUGCUCUGACCCAACAAUACCGUGAACUCAAGAACCGCGGUUUCAAUAUGGAUCUUGGAUGGGCGGGGAACGUACAGAGGCAGCAGAACCAAGGGGCCGCGAUGGGUGCUCCUGUCUUUCAAGGUGGCAUGAACCGUUAAGACUAAUUCUUUAAUGUAAUUUAUUCGGUUUUAUAAUAAACGAGGUUUAGUCCUCUGUGUGUUUCUGUAAUAUGCUUGUGAAUUAUGAAAUGAAAGUGAUUACAUAUUUGUGUAA